GGCCGCGGUAAUACGUAGGGUGCGAGCGUUAAUCGGAAUUACUGGGCGUAAAGCGUGCGCAGGCGGUUUUGCAAGACAGGCGUGAAAUCCCCGAGCUCAACUUGGGAAUGGCGCUUGUGACUGCAAGGCUAGAGUAUGUCAGAGGGGGGUAGAAUUCCACGUGUAGCAGUGAAAUGCGUAGAGAUGUGGAGGAAUACCGAUGGCGAAGGCAGCCCCCUGGGACGUCACUGACGCUCAUGCACGAAAGCGUGGGGAGCAAACA
RNAcentral lists this ribosomal RNA (262 nucleotides) under uncultured bacterium. Its description in RNAcentral is "partial 16S ribosomal RNA". It matches the Rfam family "Bacterial small subunit ribosomal RNA", at positions 513 to 774 of the family's 1533-position model. The record is from RNAcentral.